RNAcentral lists this ribosomal RNA (114 nucleotides) under uncultured bacterium. Its description in RNAcentral is "partial 16S ribosomal RNA". It matches the Rfam family "Bacterial small subunit ribosomal RNA", at positions 1369 to 1482 of the family's 1533-position model. The record is from RNAcentral.
CGUUCCCGGGCCUUGUACACACCGCCCGUCACACCAUGGGAGCUGACUCAACCAGAAAACGACCAGGCUAACCGUAAGGGGCCUUCGUUGAAGGUGGGGUUGGUGACUGGGGUG